Molecule: signal recognition particle RNA, 265 nt
Filed under: Clostridiales bacterium
Lineage: Bacteria; Bacillati; Bacillota; Clostridia; Eubacteriales
Description: signal recognition particle sRNA large type
Rfam family: Bacterial large signal recognition particle RNA
About the family: The signal recognition particle (SRP) is a universally conserved ribonucleoprotein involved in the co-translational targeting of proteins to membranes. Archaeal SRP consists of a 7S RNA and homologues of the eukaryotic SRP19 and SRP54 proteins. In most bacteria, the SRP consists of a 4.5S RNA and the Ffh protein (a homologue of the eukaryotic SRP54 protein).
Source: RNAcentral
CCGUGCUGGAUGGGGAGUUGGCGGUGCCCUGUACCUGCAACCCGCCAUAGCAGGGUCGAUCCCCGGUCCGAGGCGUUCGCCUGUCGGGUCUGGUUCGGAUAAGGGACGUUGAAGGUUGGGUCCCGUGCAACAGGCCGCUGUGAACCAUGUCAGAUCCGGAAGGAAGCAGCAUUAAGCGGAAUGGCCUGUGUGCCGCGGGUUCGCCUGACCGGAGUUACCUGUCCGGAGACCGCCGGGAGGCGCGCGUCGAAGUCCGGGCGCACGG